RNAcentral lists this ribosomal RNA (204 nucleotides) under uncultured bacterium. Its description in RNAcentral is "partial 16S ribosomal RNA". It matches the Rfam family "Bacterial small subunit ribosomal RNA", at positions 570 to 774 of the family's 1533-position model. The record is from RNAcentral.
CGUAGGCGGCUAGGUAAGUCCGACGUGAAAUCUGGAGGCUCAACCUCCAGCGGUCGUUGGAAACUACUUGGCUAGAGUCCGGAAGAGGAGAGUGGAAUUCCUGGUGUAGCGGUGAAAUGCGCAGAUAUCAGGAAGAACACCGAUGGCGAAAGCAGCUCUCUGGGACGGUACUGACGCUGAGGCGCGAAAGCGUGGGAGCGAACA